GCAAAUAGCCGACAUUUUGCUUGCUGCUAUUUUUGGUUCAUGGAUGACAUAGAUAUUUUCAAAUACAUUACUCUUCCUUCUUAGAUGACUGGUAUUGAAAUUCACCAUGAUAACUUUUUUGUGGGUUUGAUCUAUUUUCUCCUUACAAUAAAAAGUGGAUAUCUCAUUUAUGUGUAGAUUGUUACAUUGAACAGACACUCAUUUUGUGCUUCCAGCUGUUGCAAUUUGCAUUGACCAAU
This 239-nucleotide unclassified non-coding RNA is filed under the name Hevea brasiliensis (rubber tree). Lineage: Eukaryota; Viridiplantae; Streptophyta; Magnoliopsida; Malpighiales; Euphorbiaceae. The record is from RNAcentral.